RNAcentral lists this ribosomal RNA (258 nucleotides) under uncultured bacterium. RNAcentral's name for it is "partial 16S ribosomal RNA". It matches the Rfam family "Bacterial small subunit ribosomal RNA", at positions 96 to 354 of the family's 1533-position model. The record is from RNAcentral.
UGGCGGACGGGUGAGUAACGCGUGGGCAACCUGCCCUGUACUGGGGGAUAACACCUGGAAACAGGUGCUAAUACCGCAUAAGCGCGCUGUGCCGCAUGGCGCGGCGCGGAAAACCCCGGUGGUACAGGAUGGGCCCGCGUCUGAUUAGCUGGUUGGCAGGGUAACGGCCUACCAAGGCGACGAUCAGUAGCCGGCCUGAGAGGGUGGACGGCCACACUGGGACUGAGACACGGCCCAGACUCCUACGGAAGGCAGCAG